This 422-nucleotide ribosomal RNA is filed under the name uncultured eukaryote. RNAcentral describes it as "SSU rRNA". It matches the Rfam family "Eukaryotic small subunit ribosomal RNA", at positions 592 to 1018 of the family's 1831-position model. The record is from RNAcentral.
CAAUAGCGUAUAUUAAAGUUGUUGCGGUUAAAAAGCUCGUAGUUGGAUUUCUGUUGAGGACGACCGGUCCGCCCUCUGGGUGAGUAUCUGGCUCGGCCUUGGCAUCUUCUUGGAGAACGUAACUGCACUUGACUGUGUGGUGCGGUAUCCAGGACUUUUACUUUGAGGAAAUUAGAGUGUUUCAAGCAGGCGUACGCCUUGAAUACAUUAGCAUGGAAUAAUGAGAUAGGACCUUGGUUCUAUUUUGUUGGUUUCUAGAGCUGAGGUAAUGAUUAACAGGGACAGUUGGGGCCGUUUAUAUUUCGUUGUCAGAGGUGAAAUUCUUGGAUUUACGAAAGAUAAACUUCUGCGAAAGCAUUCGGCAAGGAUGUUUUCAUUGAUCAAGAACGAAAGUUAGGGGAUCGAAGAUGAUUAGAUACCAU